GUCAGGUGGCUGCUUUGUGAAGAAGAGAGUGCUCUGCUCUGAGGAACUGCCCAUGAGAAAACAAAAAGAAGGCAUUUGCAGGGAGAGGAUACCCAGUCCAAGAAACCUCAAUAUGUUGGAAGGGGUCUGUGUUUUCUGGUGAAAAAUAAAACAGAUGCUGCGACUCCACGUUAUCAUGGAGAGAUCCUUCUGCAUGCUCAGGAAAAGGAAUCUGUUGUUUUUCACAGCUUCUGAAGUGGGGAACAAGUUCUGCCUUCAUUUUACACCAAGUUAAGUAAAAGAUCACAGAAAUGAAGACCUGGUUUCCCUACCCACUUCUGGAGGCUGGGUACUGUCCUGCAAAACUUGCUUCCUCAGCAGAAAGAGGUUCUCCAAGAAAGCACUGCCCUAAAUUCUGCAGUUCACCAUUUGAAACAGGCAGCCAGAUGAUAUCACUAGUAUGAUAUGUGUUGAAUUACAGCCCUGCCUUCCACAGCGAGGCAAUUUUAGUAAAGAACUUGCACCUAUGAUGAAACUUUUGAAAUGUGCUUAAAGAAGGGAUGGAUCAAAAGCUUCAUAGUUAUUCUUAUAUGAAUGUUUUAAAUGUUUGCCCACGGGAAUGCAGCUUCUUGAAAGAAAAGAGUUAGACAGCUCUGGCUGAUUUUAGUUCUGAGACAGCAACAGAGACAGAGAAGAAGAAAUGCAGGGAUUGCUCUCUUCAGUCUGGGGGGGCACCUGGCACAGCCUUGUGCUCUUGGCUUAAGGACCUUCUGCUGCUGUGUCUGGGCAGCUGCAGAGCACAUGCCCAGGGCCUUCGGUUCUGCCUGCUGCCCAGACAGAACAACAAGGUGCUACAGAACUUAACUACGCUUUCUUCUACACUCCUCUCUUUCCUAAAGGCCAUCCAAGAGGGAAGAUAAUAACAUUUCUACCUUUCUUUGUGCUACCUUAAUUUUUGUACAGCUUGCCUACAGCAGCAUCUUGUUCAGGUGGGAUAGGCUAUUGACACAUUUUUUUGAUUGUAUUCUCUUUCUGCAUCAAAAUAUGGAUUUAUGAUGAAAUUUUCUUUGUGGGAACAACAUAAAGAUCAUUAAUGACAAAGUCACAGAAAGAAAAGUUUUUAUGAUAGGUCCUUGCUUCCUUUCUUGAAUUCUUAAGACUUAAAUUUCCAACAAUGUUUCCUACAUUUGCUUCUAUCACUAUUUUCCUUCAGCGUGCGCCUUUUGUCACAUCAUUUGUUACAGACUUCUCUCUCCCUCUCUCUCUUUUUAAAACCAUCCCUUCACUUUCCUCCUUUUUGUCUCCCAGAUCAUGAGUAUCACAGUCCCUGGACAGGUUUGCUGGGUUGACAGCUCUGAAUAUAUUACACAACAUAUUUGUCUUUUCUAAAGCACUGAUGCAAGCUUUGCCCUGACUUCUGCUGCAGUGAAUUUUCCAUACUGUUUGUCAGUGGUUUUUGUUACUAGCACCACUGAAUUUUUGACCUUGGAUUCCAUCCAUUGUUCAUAAUUUUGAGAGCAUGCAGGUCUCAUGGCUAAAGAAAUUAUUCGUCUGUUUUUUUCUCUAAUGCAUUUGUUGCCUUGGUACUUCCUAUUUAGUAAAGAAUAUUACUUGAACUCAUGAAUGAGGAAGAUUUCAGCACACAUGCUAACAGAAUAUUCUGUCUGUGCAUAAGUGAGUAAAAACCCAGCAUAGUGAAACCCAUGUUUUCAGUAAUGAUGUUUAUAGGUAGCUCCAACAUAUGCAGUGGCUGUCUAUAUAUAGACACUGAACAGCACAUUGAAAUGCCAUGAAAAAAUUGGGAGGUUUCAUCUCACUGCAUAAAUAAGUACAGUAAAUCCAGGCCAAGUACAAGUGAUUUCUUGUCAAAUGCAGAAUUAGUUCCUGUGAAUACUAUGAGGAGCCUGUAACUAACAUGCAUUAUUCUCUGAAUCUGUGAUCAUUUAAUCAAUAAAUGGUAAAAACAAUCUCAAAAUAUAAAAGAAAUUGCAGUGAA
Long non-coding RNA from Zonotrichia leucophrys gambelii, 1975 nucleotides. RefSeq lists it as uncharacterized. Lineage: Eukaryota; Metazoa; Chordata; Aves; Passeriformes; Passerellidae. The record is from RefSeq and is a predicted model, not a curated record. The transcript is spliced from 6 exons.